UACGGAGGGAGCUAGCGUUAUUCGGAAUUACUGGGCGUAAAGCGCACGUAGGCGGCUUUGUAAGUUAGAGGUGAAAGCCUGGAGCUCAACUCCAGAAUUGCCUUUAAGACUGCAUCGCUUGAAUCCAGGAGAGGUGAGUGGAAUUCCGAGUGUAGAGGUGAAAUUCGUAGAUAUUCGGAGGAACACCAGUGGCGAAGGCGACUGCCUGGACGAACAUUGACGCUGAGGUGCGAAAGCGUGGGGAGCAAACAGG
This 253-nucleotide ribosomal RNA is filed under the name uncultured bacterium. RNAcentral describes it as "partial 16S ribosomal RNA". It matches the Rfam family "Bacterial small subunit ribosomal RNA", at positions 524 to 776 of the family's 1533-position model. The record is from RNAcentral.